GGGGCGAUAGCUCAGUUGGGAGAGCGCUACCUUGACAUGGUAGAGGUUUCGCAGGUUCGAUCCCUGUUCGCCCCACCA
This 78-nucleotide transfer RNA is filed under the name Bacillota bacterium. RNAcentral describes it as "Firmicutes bacterium (subsurface metagenome) tRNA-Val". It matches the Rfam family "tRNA". From Rfam's summary of the family: Transfer RNA (tRNA) molecules are approximately 80 nucleotides in length. Their secondary structure includes four short double-helical elements and three loops (D, anti-codon, and T loops). RNAcentral also lists the same sequence under 5 other names. Lineage: Bacteria; Bacillati; Bacillota. The record is from RNAcentral.